UUGACCAAUGGGAAUAGCUCUGUAU
RNAcentral lists this non-coding RNA (25 nucleotides) under Cricetulus griseus (Chinese hamster). The record is from RNAcentral. Lineage: Eukaryota; Metazoa; Chordata; Mammalia; Rodentia; Cricetidae.